UACGAAGGGGGCUAGCGUUGCUCGGAAUCACUGGGCGUAAAGGGUGCGUAGGCGGGUCUUUAAGUCAGGGGGGAAAUCCUGGAGCUCAACUCCAGAACUGCCCUUGAUACUGAGGAUCUUGAGUUCGGGAGAGGUGAGUGGAACUGCGAGUGUAGAGGUGAAAUUCGUAGAUAUUCGCAAGAACACCAGUGGCGAAGGCGGCUCACUGGCCCGAUACUGACGCUGAGGCACGAAAGCGUGGGGAGCAAACAGG
This 253-nucleotide ribosomal RNA is filed under the name uncultured bacterium. RNAcentral describes it as "partial 16S ribosomal RNA". It matches the Rfam family "Bacterial small subunit ribosomal RNA", at positions 524 to 776 of the family's 1533-position model. The record is from RNAcentral.